GAUUUCCAUUAUUUGAGAACGAUUCAUAGAGCAUUCCUUUUUGAAGUGGUGUGCAUUUAUUAAGAAAAUUGUUCUUUGACUGAACUUCGUUGGGUUUGAGUAAAAUUAAGCUCUCAGCUAUUUUGAAAACCACUUUACUAGUCAAAACAAUUGAUGGAUUUGCCUCAAAACCUAAGGACCUAAUCUUACGCACGAAAUAGACAAUAUCUAAAGAAUCCAAUCCC
This is a non-coding RNA of Schizosaccharomyces pombe (fission yeast), 224 nucleotides long. The record is from the annotation of a GenBank genome assembly. Lineage: Eukaryota; Fungi; Ascomycota; Schizosaccharomycetes; Schizosaccharomycetales; Schizosaccharomycetaceae.